GACGAACGCUGGCGGCGUGCCUAAUACAUGCAAGUAGAACGCUGAAGGAGGAGCUUGCUUCUCUGGAUGAGUUGCGAACGGGUGAGUAACGCGUAGGUAACCUGCCUGGUAGCGGGGGAUAACUAUUGGAAACGAUAGCUAAUACCGCAUAAGAGUAGAUGUUGCAUGACAUUUGCUUAAAAGGUGCAAUUGCAUCACUACCAGAUGGACCUGCGUUGUAUUAGCUAGUUGGUGGGGUAACGGCUCACCAAGGCGACGAUACAUAGCCGACCUGAGAGGGUGAUCGGCAACACUGGGACUGAGACACGGCCCAGACGCCUACGGGAGGCAGCAGUAGGGAAUCUUCGGCAAUGGACGGAAGUCUGACCGAGCAACGCCGCGUGAGGGAAGAAGGUUGUCGGAUCGUAAAGCUCGGUUGUAAGAGAAGAACGAGUGUGAGAGUGGAAAGUUCACACUGUGACGGUAUCUUACCAGAAAGGGACGGCUAACUACGUG
Molecule: ribosomal RNA, 495 nt
Filed under: uncultured bacterium
Lineage: Bacteria
Description: partial 16S ribosomal RNA
Rfam family: Bacterial small subunit ribosomal RNA
Source: RNAcentral